AGAAAGUUCACAAAAUUCUCGGAAACGAAAGUACUGCAGUCUUCAAAGCACGUUCCUUCUGUCAGUCGCGGUUUUUUUAGCGUCCUUUCGCCAUGAAAACCUUGACAAAAGCAGUUUGUUGGAGUGCGAUAACUCUCUGCGUAUGUUUUAUCGCGAUCGGUGCCGAAACGACCACAGCAAAGCCCAAAACAACUUCAAGUCCGACACCAACUCGACCGAACACCACUGCGACGACUUCCCCGACACCCACUCCAAAGCUUAGCUGCGAGAAACGAAAUUCUUGUUGUGGACCGUGCACCGAUGAUUACGAAUGCUACUGGUGUGAGCCGGACUCGACUUGUAAGCCGUACAAAGUCAGUAUCUCUCAACUGACCCCGAAAGGGUGCAAAGGAAACAAGUGGUAUUUGAAACAAUGUGCCGUUCCAGGCUAUGUGUUGAUCAUUGUUGUGCCGUCACUUGUGGGUGUCAUCCUCAUCAGCCUUGGAUGUUGCAUAUACUGCUGUUACCGCCGCAUCCGGAGGAGGAAAGGAUAUAAACGGGAGAAAGACAGAAUCAGACGGAGGGAGAAAAAACGUCAGCGCAGCCAGGAGAAGCAUCUUCUCACUAAUACGGAUGAUGAAAAUGAAAAUCUCUAAAGCUUGAAUCACAGGUUGAUUAGUUGGGGACCACUGUAUCAUACUAGUGCCAUGGGAAAUGUGCUCUGAUAUUCUUCCUUGCUUUGGGAAUCAUCAAUACCAUACAUCAUUUAUAGUAGCAUUUGUACCUUGAACUUGACAAAUUUUUUCUUGAAAUUUUCGUCCGACUAUCAUAGAUUUAGAGAACAGUAGGUUUGGUUUAGUAUUCUACCAUUGUAAGGAAAGGAUAAUGAACAGAUGGCGAUGAGUACACAGGAUCUCAGAUGCCAAAAGGUAGAUCAUUUCUUAUGAUCCCCCCCCCCUUGCAAAUCUGUAUCCAUAUAACACCCAUGACUGUGUACCAUCCCCCUACCCCUAGCAAAUCUGGGUACAUGCCAAGGGAGAUAAUGAGUGGUUCUCAUAAAGCUGUGAAACACACUUUAGCUUAUUUAGCACUAAUACACUCUCAUGUAUUUGAUCUCCCUUGUGCUGGCUUUAUUACACUUUCAAUAUUUCCAUUUGUUUCACAGGUUUAUGAAAACCAGUUUAAAUUCACUCAUUGAUUGAGUGUUAUUUCCAUUUUUCAAUUUAUUUAAGGUGUAGCAAAUACAACAAGGUGUAUCAAGUGUAGCAAAUAGGUAUCUAACCUAGGAUUUUUUCAUAUUUUUUUCAUAAAUUUUCUAAUUUUCACAUGAAAAGUACAUUCUAGUAAUAGCUUUUUUGUAAAUAUUAUUUCUAUAGCAUUGAGAUCCCCAUCACCACAAAAAUCUUGUAAAUACUAAAUCGUUUGAUAAAAAUAAAGGAAUAUAUAUUACCAAUAUAGUAUGUAUGCCAGCACGAAGCAAACAGCUAAGCUGCAAUACGCAUAUAUGAGCAGCAAUAAUUCAAAUGCACUCGUAGGCAAACCUGUCUUGUUUACACUGUAAUGGGGGACCAUGAGGGAGGUGUCCUUCCUGUUUUAAAGGAAAUGUGUAGGAGUCCAAAUUUCCCCCAGACCUAUUUUUCAUAUUUUGAUGCUCAUUUUUUAAGGUGGCACCCACCACCCUCAUCUUGAGAAAUUCUUGAGUUGAGUUAAAGAAAUUUGAGUUGAAGAAAUGUUGAUGCAUUGAGUUGAAGAAAUUUUGGUGCAAUGUAUGUCAGUCUGUGAGUGGUGUAUGUACCACCAAAAAGAUGCAGUAAAACAAUUAGAUUGUAAGAAUAGUCUAUUUGAAAGGGAUUGUUUUUUUUUUAUAUUUUUGAAUUGAUUAAAUGACAGUAAAAACGC
This is a long non-coding RNA of Nematostella vectensis (starlet sea anemone), 1878 nucleotides long. RefSeq lists it as uncharacterized. The record is from RefSeq and is a predicted model, not a curated record. The transcript has 3 exons. NCBI's taxonomy places the organism in Eukaryota, Metazoa, Cnidaria, Anthozoa, Actiniaria, Edwardsiidae.